UACCCGCUAUUGGAGUUCGAUUAAGCCUGCGAGUCGAGAGUCCUCGGGACUCGGCGUACCGCUCAGUAACACGUGGGUAACCUGCCCUAUGCUGGGGAAUAACCUCGGGAAACUGAGAACAAUGCCCCAUAGCCCACUACGCCUGGAACGGUGAGUGGGUCAAAGCUCCGGCGGCAUAGGAUGGGCCUGCGCCGUAUCAGGUUGUAGGGGGUGUAAAGUACCCUCUAGCCAUCAACGCGUACGGGUGUUGGGAGACAUUGCCCGGAGAUGGAUUCUGAGACACGAAUCCAGACCCUACGGGGUGCAGCAGGCGCGAAAACUUGGCAAUGCGAGAAAUCGUGACCAGGGAACUCCAAGUGCGUAGGGUAAGACCUACGCUUUUCUUGACUCUUCAAAGGUCUUGGAAUAAGGGGUGGGUAAGGACGGGUGCCAGCCGCCGCGGUAAUACCGGCGCCUCAAGUGGUAGUCGCUUUUAUUGGGCCUAAAACGUCCGUAGCCGGUCUGGUGCAUUCGUGGGUAAAUCAACCCGCUCAACGGGUUGAAUUCUGCGAGCACGGCCAGACUUGGGACCGGGAGAGGUGUGGGGUACCUCUCAGGGUAGGGGUAAAAUCCUGUCAUCCNUGAGAGGACCACCCUGUUGC
This 641-nucleotide ribosomal RNA is filed under the name uncultured marine archaeon. Its description in RNAcentral is "bacterial SSU rRNA". It matches the Rfam family "Archaeal small subunit ribosomal RNA", at positions 25 to 667 of the family's 1478-position model. The record is from RNAcentral.